AGGAUGCAAAUCUAAAUUUAUUGAAAUGAACCCGCCCUUUUGGUUGUCACAAAAUUACCAAUAAGUGCCAGCGAAACUGGACGUGACUAUCGUCCGGAGGCCCAGCAGGUCGUGUCGACCGAAAGCAGCAAAAUGUGCAAAUCAAUAAAAAAACAUAAAUAAUAAAUUAUUUUUAGACUUAGUCCAUCCAGUCUUCAAGGCAGGUUAGAUAGUAUUGGUCUAAACCGUCCCAUUGCGAACAAUCAUAAAUAAAAAUAAUAAAUCUCGGCAUCGGUAAACAUUGCGGUUCCUCGGAUCAGACGGUUGGCACAGCACUAACAGCAACACCAGCAGCACAGGGACUUGUACUCGGCAGUUCACCGGACAUUUCAUCCCAUCCUGUUACGGCGUUUACAUUCCGGUUUCUCCGAUAAUUGGUUGUUGCAGCUUAAACAGUGCAGCUCCAGUGCCCAUUCGGAAGACACCGUCGACGGUUAGAUCUCCAUGACGUCUCCUGCACAAAGGUCACCAAAGCUAUCGCACGCAGGUUCCAGUUGUCGAACGGCAUUAACCCAUUCCGAGAACGGCUCUAAUCACAACAGAUGCAGCAGCAAAUGCAAUCGUUGCCACUGGGAUUCAAUCCUGCUGGUAGUCGAGGCGAAGGCGCAGUUGCUGAUGUCGGAUUCCAAUCAAGAAAAAACCUCCAGGGUCCUCUAGCCUUUCUGGAGAAAACUGCUAGCAACUUAUUUUCAGUCGGAAUGUGGAAUGAUUGACGGCCAUACGGGUGGAAAGUUCGCAAUUCGAUUUCACCUUCCCCCAAUUGUUACCACUAAGUCAUCCUAGCUGCAAUCCGGAUUUACCCUUAAAACGACGCUGUUUGAAGACCAAAGUUGAAGGAUUUGUGAGCAGUUAAUUGUACCGACGUAUUAACUUUGAGAAGAUGAUUGUUGGACAACUCCACAAUGCAGCCUGUUUGCAACCCGAAUCAGUUCGAGAUUCCCAGAAUUUGUACGGAAACUUUCUCGACAAUAUCGCUUCCGGUUUAGUUGCUUAAGCUCGGCUGAGCAGGCUGUUUUUGAACCGUGUACACGUCUGUCUUUGCUGAGGACCAGGUGAUUUUCAAGGCUGUCCAGAACGUGCUGAAAUCGGUUCGCACCGAGCAUCUUAGCGGACAAUAGACCACCAACGACUUUACCCAGGCUGGAGAUUCGAUGCCAAAGUUCUUUUCUUCGUUCGUCAACAUUGAAAUUUAUAAGGUAUUCGAUCUGUAUUGCGUGCAGUAUGCUACUUAAUCGAAAUUAACUAGGCAUGCGUCAGCCGUUUAAACUUAAAUUUUUAUCUGUUAAGCAAUUUGAACCAAAUCUAAUUUUUUAUUCACUUUAUCAAUCAAAAGCAGUAAUUGAUUUAAUAAUGUCUUGGUUAAUUUAUUUAAAAAAUAUUUAAUCAAAAAAUAUAUUUCAAGUUGAACUACAAAUACAAAUACACGUAUUAAGACUAUUAAUUUGUUAAAAAUUUUGACUGAACAUUUAAUGCCCAUCUGUUCAUUAGAAUUGAAUUUAGAUUGAAUCUUUAAUUAAGUCUUAUAAUGUGAUAAUAAAGUUAA
Molecule: long non-coding RNA, 1582 nt
Organism: Uranotaenia lowii
Lineage: Eukaryota; Metazoa; Arthropoda; Insecta; Diptera; Culicidae
Exons: 4
Source: RefSeq, a predicted model, not a curated record